Molecule: ribosomal RNA, 497 nt
Filed under: uncultured bacterium
Lineage: Bacteria
Description: partial 16S ribosomal RNA
Rfam family: Bacterial small subunit ribosomal RNA
Source: RNAcentral
GAUGAACGCUGGCGGCGUGCCUAAUACAUGCAAGUCGAACGCUGAAGCUUGGUGCUUGCACCGAGCGGAUGAGUUGCGAACGGGUGAGUAACGCGUAGGUAACCUGCCUCUUAGCGGGGGAUAACUAUUGGAAACGAUAGCUAAUACCGCAUAAAAGUCGAUAUCGCAUGAUAUUGAUUUGAAAGGUGCAAAUGCAUCACUAAGAGAUGGACCUGCGUUGUAUUAGCUAGUUGGUGAGGUAACGGCUCACCAAGGCGACGAUACAUAGCCGACCUGAGAGGGUGAUCGGCCACACUGGGACUGAGACACGGCCCAGACUCCUACGGGAGGCAGCAGGAGGGAAUCUUCGGCAAUGGGGGCAACCCUGACCGAGCAACGCCGCGUGAGGGAAGAAGGUUUUCGGAUCGUAAAGCUCGGUUGUAAGAGAAGAACGAGUGUGAGAGUGGAAAGUUCACACUGUGACGGUAACUGACCAGAAAGGGACGGCUAACUACGUG